ACUGCUGGGUUUCACCGGCCUGGUUGCGGCGUUUCUGCUGCUGCCGGUGGUUUUCAUCGUGCUUUUGUCGUUCGGCUCGUCGCGGUGGUU
RNAcentral lists this transfer RNA (90 nucleotides) under Mesorhizobium sp. L-2-11. RNAcentral describes it as "tRNA-Arg". The record is from RNAcentral. Lineage: Bacteria; Pseudomonadati; Pseudomonadota; Alphaproteobacteria; Hyphomicrobiales; Phyllobacteriaceae.